This 75-nucleotide transfer RNA is filed under the name Amphilius sp. NM-2010. Its description in RNAcentral is "tRNA-Leu (UUR)". It matches the Rfam family "tRNA". Rfam says of the family: Transfer RNA (tRNA) molecules are approximately 80 nucleotides in length. Their secondary structure includes four short double-helical elements and three loops (D, anti-codon, and T loops). The record is from RNAcentral. Lineage: Eukaryota; Metazoa; Chordata; Actinopteri; Siluriformes; Amphiliidae.
AUUAAGAUGGCAGAGCCCGGUAAUUGCAAAAGGCCUAAGCCCUUCUCCCCGGGGGUUCAAAUCCCUCUCUUAAUU